CUACGGGGAAGCAGCAGUAGGGAAUCUUCCGCAAUGGACGAAAGUCUGACGGAGCAACGCCGCGUGAGUGAUGAAGGUUUUCGGAUCGUAAAACUCUGUUGUUAGGGAAGAACAAGUACCGUUCGAAUAGGGCGGUACCUUGACGGUACCUAACCAGAAAGCCACGGCUAACUACGUGCCAGCAGCCGCGGUAAUACGUAGGUGGCAAGCGUUGUCCGGAAUUAUUGGGCGUAAAGCGCGCGCAGGCGGUUUCUUAAGUCUGAUGUGAAAGCCCCCGGCUCAACCGGGGAGGGUCAUUGGAAACUGGGGAACUUGAGUGCAGAAGAGGAGAGUGGAAUUCCACGUGUAGCGGUGAAAUGCGUAGAGAUGUGGAGGAACACCAGUGGCGAAGGCGACUCUCUGGUCUGUAACUGACGCUGAGGCGCGAAAGCGUGGGGAGCGAACAGGAUUAGAUACCCUGUGGUAG
Molecule: ribosomal RNA, 466 nt
Filed under: Bacillus licheniformis
Lineage: Bacteria; Bacillati; Bacillota; Bacilli; Caryophanales; Bacillaceae
Description: bacterial SSU rRNA
Rfam family: Bacterial small subunit ribosomal RNA
Source: RNAcentral